Molecule: long non-coding RNA, 491 nt
Organism: Epinephelus moara (kelp grouper)
Lineage: Eukaryota; Metazoa; Chordata; Actinopteri; Perciformes; Serranidae
Exons: 3
Source: RefSeq, a predicted model, not a curated record
AGGUGAAAACAUUAAAGAGCUGGAUGAACCUGCAGGCAGCCAGUAUCAUCAGAAUAUUGAAACUUUUGUUGGAUGUGAUCCAUACAAAAUGAAGAAAAGAGAUUUUUCCUAGACACUAUCGUCGUACAAAAGGACUAUCACGAUUUUAUGUGCAUUUUGGUCCAUGACUGAACAGACUUCUUGCUUGUUUUUGGUCGGUGCGAUGUUGGGGAGGAGCUGCAGCAGUUUGCGGGAAGAUGCCGGUGGUGUGUGGCAGGGCUUGGCAGUGCGCGUCUUUGAGGCUCGAGUGGCUGGAGGAGUGCUUGACUCUGGGGCGAAGGCGUCCUCAGUUAAUAUACAAGGUCUCUGUUCUUCUGAAAAAGAAUGCAGGGCAGCCAAUUUCCUGGUUCACCUGUUUCAUUAGCACUCUUCAGACAGGAGAGGGCGGCAGUGAGGCGAGAACGAUCUUCUGAGUUGGAGCCCAGGCGUCGCAUCGUGUCCUGCAACUCAGA